Molecule: ribosomal RNA, 1355 nt
Filed under: uncultured bacterium
Lineage: Bacteria
Description: bacterial SSU rRNA
Rfam family: Bacterial small subunit ribosomal RNA
Source: RNAcentral
AUUGAACGCUGGCGGCAGGCUUAACACAUGCAAGUCGAACGAUGACUCUCUAGCUUGCUAGAGAAGAUUAGUGGCGGACGGGUGAGUAACAUUUAGGAAUCUGCCUAGUAGUGGGGGAUAGCUCGGGGAAACUCGAAUUAAUACCGCAUACGACCUACGGGUGAAAGGGGGCGCAAGCUCUUGCUAUUAGAUGAGCCUAAAUCAGAUUAGCUAGUUGGUGGGGUAAAGGCCCACCAAGGCGACGAUCUGUAACCGGUCUGAGAGGAUGAUCAGUCACACCGGAACUGAGACACGGUCCGGACUCCUACGGGAGGCAGCAGUGGGGAAUAUUGGACAAUGGGGGCAACCCUGAUCCAGCCAUGCCGCGUGUGUGAAGAAGGCCUUUUGGUUGUAAAGCACUUUAAGCAGGGAGGAGAGGCUAAUGGUUAAUACCCAUUAGAUUAGACGUUACCUGCAGAAUAAGCACCGGCUAACUCUGUGCCAGCAGCCGCGGUAAUACAGAGGGUGCGAGCGUUAAUCGGAAUUACUGGGCGUAAAGCGAGUGUAGGUGGCUCAUUAAGUCACAUGUGAAAUCCCCGGGCUUAACCUGGGAACUGCAUGUGAUACUGGUGGUGCUAGAAUAUGUGAGAGGGAAGUAGAAUUCCAGGUGUAGCGGUGAGAUGCGUAGAGAUCUGGAGGAAUACCGAUGGCGAAGGCAGCUUCCUGGCAUAAUAUUGACACUGAGAUUCGAAAGCGUGGGUAGCAAACAGGAUUAGAUACCCUGGUAGUCCACGCCGUAAACGAUGUCUACUAGCCGUUGGGGUCCUUGAGACUUUAGUGGCGCAGUUAACGCGAUAAGUAGACCGCCUGGGGAGUACGGCCGCAAGGUUAAAACUCAAAUGAAUUGACGGGGGCCCGCACAAGCGGUGGAGCAUGUGGUUUAAUUCGAUGCAACGCGAAGAACCUUACCUGGUCUUGACAUAGUGAGAAUCCUGCAGAGAUGCGGGAGUGCCUUCGGGAAUUCACAUACAGGUGCUGCAUGGCUGUCGUCAGCUCGUGUCGUGAGAUGUUGGGUUAAGUCCCGCAACGAGCGCAACCCUUUUCCUUAUUUGCCAGCGGGUUAAGCCGGGAACUUUAAGGAUACUGCCAGUGACAAACUGGAGGAAGGCGGGGACGACGUCAAGUCAUCAUGGCCCUUACGACCAGGGCUACACACGUGCUACAAUGGUAGGUACAGAGGGUUGCUACACAGCGAUGUGAUGCUAAUCUCAAAAAGCCUAUCGUAGUCCGGAUUGGAGUCUGCAACUCGACUCCAUGAAGUCGGAAUCGCUAGUAAUCGCAGAUCAGAAUGCUGCGGUGAAUACGUUCCCGGGCCU